GGAUGUGAGGGUGAUCUGGCUGCAAUAUCUGUCACCCUAUUGAUCGCCAAGGUUGAUUUGGCUGAUCUGGCUACGUGGUUGUCCCCUUCCUGCCUCACCUCUCCCUGUGUGUCCUUUCUGAAACUGUGGACCAUUCUUUACCUCCAAACAAGCUCUCAGGAUGCAUUUGUAGGAGAACAUAGGGUAGUCAAGAUCCUAAGACUCCAGACACAUCCAAAUGAGGUGCUGCUUGUGGCAGUGUGCCUUUCUUU
RNAcentral lists this small nuclear RNA (251 nucleotides) under Mustela putorius furo (domestic ferret). RNAcentral's name for it is "7SK RNA (ENSMPUG00000020929.1)". It matches the Rfam family "7SK RNA". Rfam says of the family: 7SK was discovered as an abundant small nuclear RNA in the mid-70s but a possible function has only recently been suggested. Two independent studies have found that 7SK RNA binds the CDK9/cyclin T complex (known as elongation factor P-TEFb). Lineage: Eukaryota; Metazoa; Chordata; Mammalia; Carnivora; Mustelidae. The record is from Rfam by way of RNAcentral.